Molecule: ribosomal RNA, 235 nt
Filed under: uncultured bacterium
Lineage: Bacteria
Description: partial 16S ribosomal RNA
Rfam family: Bacterial small subunit ribosomal RNA
Source: RNAcentral
UGAGUGACCUGCCGAUUUGUGGGGGAUAGCCGGGCCAACGCCCGGGUAAUACCGCAUACGCUCUUCUUGGGGCAUCUCUAGAAGAGGAAACCUCCGGGGCAAAUCGAGGGACUCGCGGCCUGUCAGCUAGUUGGCGAGGUAACGGCUCACCAAGGCUACGACGGGUAGCUGGUCUGAGAGGAUGGCCAGCCACAUUGGGACUGAGACACGGCCCAGACCUCCGUACGGGAGCAGC